GCUGUGUCCAGGAACACGAGUGAAACUCACUUUCGUGUAACUGCGCAUUCGCCAUCGCAGCCUACGGUGACUGCGAUUGGCUCGUUUGGUACCGACGUUUUCUCCUACACGUGUCACGCUCGUGUAAAUGAACCGUAACAUCACGGAGACUGGACCCUGUGGUGGAGGAGAAGGUUAAGCUGAUGGUUCAUGAAGAUUUCGGAUGAGAUUCGCUGGACGGCCUGGAUGACAGGCAGCCUGAGAGGGGGAACACAGUGAAGCUGAUUGGCUCAGAGAACUCAGGCAGAGAGUUUAUUGGUUAAAAAAAGUGUCGUAAUAAAGCAGAACAGAACUAACGAAGCAAAGCUGGAAUGAUGGCAGAAGAGAUCUUCCUCAUUGAGCUUAAUUAAAAUCUUCAUCUCUAUGUGAGGCUCGUGGCACCACGCCUGCAAAGGUGGAUGUUUCAGUCUGUAAACCUGGAAAAAACGCCGGCCGAUAAAUAAUCCCAUUUCAUUUUGGAAAUAUUUCACAAAGCAGCGUGAAACUCUGCUGCUCAUCAUUUUUUUCCAUAAUUAUCUUUAUUUGAGCUGAAAGACUCGAUCAGAUCAGAGCGAGGAUAAGCAAAGGUUGCUUGACUCUGAAACUUCAAAAUAAAAGCCUGUCAUUUAGCUUUGAUUCUUUGAGGGAGUAAAAGAUUUGAAAUGGAGCUUAUAGGUUUCAUCUGAUGCUGUUUUAGAUUUUCUGUGUGUGUUUGAGCCGUGAAGGCUGUGAAUACCUUUGAGUCACAGUAAUCCACCUGCAUGAGGGCCGUCUGUCCGUCUGUCAGCUUAAAUCCUGCUCAGCUCCAGUUUCAGCAACAUGUUCACUCGAUCACACUCUUCAGCACUUCAGCAGUGCGACCAGGUUCAGAUCAGAAAUAACUGAAAGGAAGGUCUGAUGUGUUCUUUUUGCACUUUAUCUUUCAGGACACGGUUAUCUCAGCCCACAGCAGCAGGCUGAAAAACCAUCUGAGAUAAUGUGAGUGUGAAAUCCUGGAUAUCAAACAUUUGUUCAUGUUUGAACUUCACUGUUGAAUCAUGUAGGUGCACAUCUGCAACCCAACGGCUCCUCGACAACACGAACAUCGGUGAUGCAAACUCUGCGUCUCUCACAUCCUGGAUCAAAGACAUGACAGCCAACACUGAGGAGGUCAAAGGCCUACCUACGUUCACUCUCACACUCCAGUGGAGGCAUCAGGGGUCACUCGAGGUUCAGCGUUUUGCCCAAGGACACUUUGCACACAACCCACUCGACCCUCUGAUCCCCCUCUGCCCCCAAAGCACAACAACCAAUGACAGCAAGCAUAACUCGGAAUAAAGGUGGAAAAAUGCUAACAAGGCAAACUUUGCUGUGUGUGGAUGCUAUUUCAAAUUUACUGAUUUAAUUUAAACUCAGACCACUGAAAAAGUGUAAUAUUGAUCUCAUUCACUGAGUUUGUUCUUAAAUUUCACUUUUAACAGUGUAAAAAAACAAGCGUUAAACUUAACCACAGGUAUGAGAUAUGUGGAUAUAAAAGGAAAAAUAACAAUACUGUAAAUCUACUGUGAUCCGGAGAUGGCUCAGGCUAAAUGCUGGACUAUCAUAAUAUCACUAUUACGAUUAUUGUGGCAAAAAUAAUUCAUGAUAAAUGUAUUUUUACAAUAUCACAAUAAUUAAAACAUAUAAACUGCUUUGUUGUGUUGUGUCUCGUUUUGUGUUGUUUGUAACAAAAAAGAAAAAAUUACAUGUUAUUACUG
Molecule: long non-coding RNA, 1754 nt
Organism: Astatotilapia calliptera (eastern happy)
Lineage: Eukaryota; Metazoa; Chordata; Actinopteri; Cichliformes; Cichlidae
Source: Ensembl